Molecule: ribosomal RNA, 249 nt
Filed under: uncultured Prevotella sp.
Lineage: Bacteria; Pseudomonadati; Bacteroidota; Bacteroidia; Bacteroidales; Prevotellaceae
Description: partial 16S ribosomal RNA
Rfam family: Bacterial small subunit ribosomal RNA
Source: RNAcentral
UGAGGAAUAUUGGUCAAUGGGCGAGAGCCUGAACCAGCCAAGUAGCGUGCAGGAUGACGGCCCUAUGGGUUGUAAACUGAUUUUGAAGGGGAGUAAAGUGAGUGACGAGUCACUCAUUGCAAGUACCCUUGGAAUAAGGACCGGCUAAUUCCGUGCCAGCAGCCGCGGUAAUACGGAAGGUCCGGGCGUUAUCCGGAUUUAUUGGGUUUAAAGGGAGCGUAGGCGGCCUUUCAAGCGUGUUGUGCAAUG